Molecule: non-coding RNA, 835 nt
Organism: Zootermopsis nevadensis
Lineage: Eukaryota; Metazoa; Arthropoda; Insecta; Blattodea; Termopsidae
Source: RefSeq, a predicted model, not a curated record
GAUUUAGAGCUUGUUAAAGAGAAGACGAACCACGUAUUUAUGAAUUUUAUACUCAUCGCGAAGUAUUGGUAUUGAAAAAAAGGGGUAGAGUAUCAUAAUUAUCUGAAAGGAGACUUUGCUGACACGACAGCCCGUACCUGUACAGAUAUCAAGAUGAAACAUAACUGAGAUUCUGUUACAAGGUUUGGCGAAGUUUACCUGGCGAGGAAGAAGGAUGGAAGUGACGAUGGCAAAUUUUACGCCAUAAAGAUAAUGAAGAGGACAUCACUGAAGAGAAAGGACAUCGACCACGCGUGGACGGAGCGUCGCGUAUUUGAGAAAACACGCGGCACUAUUUUCUUCCUGCAGCUCCAUUAUGCUUUUAAGACAAAUGAACACCUACAUCUCGUAAUGGACUACGUAGCAGGAAAGAACUUUAUUGAACUUCUGUAGCAGCGAGGGGGGCUUACGGAGAAUGAAACAAGAUUCUUCUCUGCCGAAAUCAUCCAUCCUGGCCCUCCAGCACCUGCACGAGAUAGGCAACCAGCACUCCCGCUGAACAGCAUAAUAAAGAGGGCAGGGCACAAGACAUGAAAAGUUACUGCCCAAGGACCCUACGGAAGCCGUUGAAAGGAAGACCAACCUCCUUCUCAAGAAGUCAUCAUUCCCAGAGGAGGUCAUCCAAAAGCUACGGCCCCAGGGUUCGAGGCCCCCUAGACUGUAUGGGCUACCCAAGAUCCAUAAGGAAGGAGCUCCCCUCAGGCCCAUCGUAAGCACCAUCGGCGCUCCAACCUACCGGCUUGCCCAAUAUCUCGCGGGACUACUCGGGGGAUUGGUGGGGCACUCUCCACGUCAC